Molecule: ribosomal RNA, 408 nt
Filed under: uncultured Limnohabitans sp.
Lineage: Bacteria; Pseudomonadati; Pseudomonadota; Betaproteobacteria; Burkholderiales; Comamonadaceae
Description: bacterial SSU rRNA
Rfam family: Bacterial small subunit ribosomal RNA
Source: RNAcentral
CUCGGAGUUUGAUCCUGGCUCAGAUUGAACGCUGGCGGAAUGCUUUACAUACGCAAGUCGAACGGUAGAGGGGGCAACCCCUCGAGAGUGGCGAACGGGUGAGUAAUAUAUCGGAACGUGCCCAGUCGUGGGGGAUAACGUAGCGAAAGUUACGCUAAUACCGCAUACGAUCUACGGAUGAAAGCGGGGGACUCGCAAGACCUCGCGCGAUUGGAGCGGCCGAUAUCAGAUUAGGUAGUUGGUGGGGUAAAGGCUCACCAAGCCAACGAUCUGUAGCUGGUCUGAGAGGACGACCAGCCACACUGGAACUGAGACACGGUCCAGACUCCUACGGGAGCAGCAGUGGGGAAUUUGGACAAUGGACGCAAGUCUGAUCCAGCCAUUCCCGCGUGCAGGACGAAGGUCCUU